AAUAGAUACCCCGGUAGUCCACGCCCUAAACGAUGUCUACUAGUUGUCGGGUCUUAAUUGACUUGGUAACGCAGCUAACGCGUGAAGUAGACCGCCUGGGGAGUACGGUCGCAAGAUUAAAACUCAAAGGAAUUGACGGGGACCCGCACAAGCGGUGGAUGAUGUGGAUUAAUUCGAUGCAACGCGAAAAACCUUACCUACCCUUGACAUGUCAGGAAUCCUGGAGAGAUCCGGGAGUGCCCGAAAGAGAGCCUGAACACAGGUGCUGCAUGGCUGUCGUCAGCUCGUGUCGUGAGAUGUUGGGUUAAGUCCCGCAACGAGCGCAACCCUUGUCAUUAGUUGCUACGAAAGGGCACUCUAAUGAGACUGCCGGUGACAAACCGGAGGAAGGUGGGGAUGACGUCAAGUCCUCAUGGCCCUUAUGGGUAGGGCUUCACACGUCAUACAAUGGUGCAUACAGAGGGCUGCCAAACCCGGCGAGGGGGAGCUAAUCCCAGAAAGUGCAUCGUAGUCCGGAUCGCAGUCUGCAAC
Molecule: ribosomal RNA, 531 nt
Filed under: uncultured bacterium
Lineage: Bacteria
Description: bacterial SSU rRNA
Rfam family: Bacterial small subunit ribosomal RNA
Source: RNAcentral